UACGGGAGGCAGCAGUGGGGAAUAUUGCACAAUGGGCGCAAGCCUGAUGCAGCCAUGCCGCGUGUAUGAAGAAGGCCUUCGGGUUGUAAAGUACUUUCAGUCGUGAGGAAGGUGUUAAGGUUAAUAACCUUAGCAAUUGACGUUAGCGACAGAAGAAGCACCGGCUAACUCCGUGCCAGCAGCCGCGGUAAUACGGAGGGUGCGAGCGUUAAUCGGAAUUACUGGGCGUAAAGGGCACGCAGGCGGUUAAUUAAGUUGGAUGUGAAAUCCCCGGGCUUAACCUGGGAAUGGCAUUCAAGACUGGUUAGCUAGAGUCUUGUAGAGGGGGUAGAAUUCCGAUGUGUAGCGGUGAAAUGCGUAGAGAUGUGGAGGAAUACCGGUGGCGAAGGCGGCCCCUGGACAAAGACUGACGCUCAUGUGCGAAAGCGUGGGGAGCGAAACAGGGAUUAGA
RNAcentral lists this ribosomal RNA (451 nucleotides) under uncultured bacterium. Its description in RNAcentral is "bacterial SSU rRNA". It matches the Rfam family "Bacterial small subunit ribosomal RNA", at positions 340 to 782 of the family's 1533-position model. The record is from RNAcentral.